This 1171-nucleotide long non-coding RNA is filed under the name Manihot esculenta (cassava). RNAcentral describes it as "long non-coding RNA (MESC_LNC004491)". The record is from RNAcentral. Lineage: Eukaryota; Viridiplantae; Streptophyta; Magnoliopsida; Malpighiales; Euphorbiaceae.
GUGUUUUUAGGAGGUUUUUGGGGGUAUGUUUAGAGUCUUGUUUAUGUUUGUUUGGUACCUCAUCUAAGUCCACCUGUGUAGGUUCGGACCCGAGGAACCGAAACCCCCGGCAGUGAGAUAGCUGCCUUUGAGUUGUUAAAGCUUCAGUCAUCAGGUGAGUGGAACAACCCCUUAAGUUUUAAAGUAAAGUAAAUGAAUAAAUGAAUGAAUCAUAAAGCAUUGCCCAUGCAUCACUAAUGCCAUGCAAUAUUUCAGGAUGUUUGCAUUAGAAUUCACGAAUAUGCUGCAUUGCAUAAAUUGAUGUUGAUGUGGAUGGUUGAUUGGAUGAUCCAUAGUCCUCGAUAUGUUAUGAUGAGAUAUGGCAUGUUAUAUAUGAAAGUCCAGGUUGUACCCAUUCUACGUCCCUGGCACAAAGAAAGAGAAAGACCGGUUGACCCAUUCUACGUCCCGGCAUAUUGGAAUGUUAUGUUAUGAUGCGUUAUGUAAGAGAAAGACCGGUUGACCCAUUCUACGUCCCGGCACUUUGGAAAGGAAGAGGACUAAUGGUGACAAUACCAUCCUUUAUGUGAUUAGCUGUGAUGUGUUGCAUUUCAUGAAAGCAUGAAAAAAAAAAGAAAAAAGUUAAAUAAUAUGUUGAAAUAAAAUAAAAUAAAUAAUAAAUAAUGAAUAAAAAUAAUAAUAAUAAAGGAAAUAAUAAAAUCAAUGUUUUUAGUUUCUGCUCAUUGGGCUUUAUAGCUCACCCCCUCUCCCCUAACCCCAGUCUUGCAGGUGCAGAGUAGAUAGAGAAGUCAGCAGAGUAAGAGAAGUUUAUGUAAUAGCUUAGCUAUGGACAUGGUUUGUUUGUAAUGUAAAAGUAUGAUAUGUAAUGUAAUGAAAGUUUAAUAGUGUGCUUGACUAGAGUCUGUUGUAUUCCCUGUACACAUGGUCUUGUAUGAGAUAUAAUGUUUUUAUGAUGCCUAUGUAACCCAAGCCUAUGUUAUGUUAUGUUACCCCAUUGGAGUAUUUGAUGAGGACUCCAAUGAGAGGUUUAUGUUAUGUUUGUGCAUGCACAGGCUAGGCUUGGCAAAGAAAUGUUUGAAUGAAAAAAAAGUUUUAAAUUUUUAUGUAUGUUGUUGACCAUGUAUGGGAUUAAACAGGUUCACAGGAUGUAUGUUUGGCUUGCUACGGGUUC